UCCUGACUGACCGAUAGUGAACCAGUACCGUGAGGGAAAGGCGAAAAGAACCCCGGCGAGGGGAGUGAAAAAGAACCUGAAACCGUGUACGUACAAGCAGUGGGAGCACGCUUAGGCGUGUGACUGCGUACCUUUUGUAUAAUGGGUCAGCGACUUAUAUUCUGUAGCAAGGUUAACCGAAUAGGGGAGCCGAAGGGAAACCGAGUCUUAACUGGGCGUUAAGUUGCAGGGUAUAGACCCGAAACCCGGUGAUCUAGCCAUGGGCAGGUUGAAGGUUGGGUAACACUAACUGGAGGACCGAACCGACUAAUGUUGAAAAAUUAGCGGAUGACUUGUGGCUGGGGGUGAAAGGCCAAUCAAACCGGGAGAUAGCUGGUUCUCCCCGAAAGCUAUUUAGGUAGCGCCUCGUGAAUUCAUCUCCGGGGGUAGAGCACUGUUUCGGCAAGGGGGUCAUCCCGACUUACCAACCCGAUGCAAACUGCGAAUACCGGAGAAUGUUAUCACGGGAGACACACGGCGGGUGCUAACGUCCGUCGUGAAGAGGGAAACAACCCAGACCGCCAGCUAAGGUCCCAAAGUCAUGGUUAAGUGGGAAACGAUGUGGGAAGGCCCAGACAGCCAGGAUGUUGGCUUAGAAGCAGCCAUCAUUUAAAGAAAGCGUAAUAGCUCACUGGUCGAGUCGGCCUGCGCGGAAGAUGUAACGGGGCUAAACCAUGCACCGAAGCUGCGGCAGCG
This 735-nucleotide ribosomal RNA is filed under the name Shigella sonnei. Its description in RNAcentral is "partial 23S ribosomal RNA". It matches the Rfam family "Bacterial large subunit ribosomal RNA", at positions 474 to 1210 of the family's 2925-position model. The record is from RNAcentral. Lineage: Bacteria; Pseudomonadati; Pseudomonadota; Gammaproteobacteria; Enterobacterales; Enterobacteriaceae.